RNAcentral lists this transfer RNA (111 nucleotides) under Puccinia graminis f. sp. tritici. RNAcentral describes it as "tRNA-Lys". It matches the Rfam family "tRNA". From Rfam's summary of the family: Transfer RNA (tRNA) molecules are approximately 80 nucleotides in length. Their secondary structure includes four short double-helical elements and three loops (D, anti-codon, and T loops). Lineage: Eukaryota; Fungi; Basidiomycota; Pucciniomycetes; Pucciniales; Pucciniaceae. The record is from RNAcentral.
GCCCGGUUAGCUCAGUCGGUAGAGCAUUUGACUUUUACGCUGCUUGCAAGGUUGCACGCACUGCGAGAAGCGGUCAUCAAAAUGUCGGGGGUUCGAGCCCCCCAUUGGGCG